Long non-coding RNA from Papaver somniferum (opium poppy), 1310 nucleotides. RefSeq lists it as uncharacterized. The transcript has 2 exons. NCBI's taxonomy places the organism in Eukaryota, Viridiplantae, Streptophyta, Magnoliopsida, Ranunculales, Papaveraceae. The record is from RefSeq and is a predicted model, not a curated record.
UUCUUCUUAUCUCUUUCUUUCUCUCUUUCCUCUCACACUUUUCUUCUCCUCUUCUGGCGAUCUCGAUUCAACAGAAUUGAGUUUGUUUUGUACGUGGAUCUGUAAUAAGCUUAGUAAGAUGAUGGAUCGAGUGAGUAUGUGCUAUGCCGAAAUUAUUGGAGCUUCAGAAGAAGAUGAUAGAGUUGUUGCUGGAAAUUGAAGUUAGGGUUUUCUGAAGGAUGAAGUUGAUUGAGGAAUUAUAUGGAAUUGAGUAUGAAAUCAGUUAAUUGAAGAUGGGUUUUGUAUAUCGAGAACAAGAAGAAGAAUAGGGUGUUCUGUUUCGGUUCACAGGGAAGGAUUGAAGGGAUUAGGGUUCUGUAAUUCAUUGAAGAUAAGAUUAAAGUUGAUGAAGAAGAAAUUAGAGGGGUGUUCCAGAACACGUUGUAAAGAAGAUAAAGGAUUUCGUUGAUUUGAAGACUUAGCAACUGAUUCCUCAAUUACAGCGAAGAGUUGCAUGGAUUUAGGGUUUCACUGGAAUUUCGAUUAGAGAUGAAUAAUAAGAAUUAAGGAGUGGAUUUGUCGAUUGGUAAACAUGGUGAAGUUAACUGGAUGUUUAUGAAUCUGAUGAAGAACUAGGGUUUGGUUCUGCAAUGAAGAAGGGGAGAAGAGUUAGAUGAAUGUUAAGUUGAUUACAUGUGGUGGUUUUUGGAUGACUGGUGUUUGUAAUCGAUGAACUGAAUUAUUGUGGUUGAACUAGAUUGAGAUGAAGAAGUGUAGUUGUGAAAAAGAUGUUUGAUUGGAACUAGUGACAGUUAAUGUAAGUUGCAGAUUAGUGAGGUUGGUGGCCAGAGAUGGGAGUUGUCUGUGUAGGUAUGCUUGUAGGGGCUGUGAGUUGAAUUGGUGGAGAAUUGUAGUGGCUGGUUGAGUUGAAGAUUGUUUUAAUGUUGAAUUGAAUGGGUUUAGGUUCGGAUAAAUGUAUAGUUUGUUGCCGAGAGAAUGAAUAUUACAGAUUUGUUGAUAUUGUGUUAUUGCAGCUGGAAUUUAAAUGAGCUAUUCAGUGAUGAGGCUAUGAUACUGUGUGUUUAUGUUGGUGAUCCAAUGAGUUGUUGUCGAAGUUAUAUAGUAAUGAAUAACAGAGUAGUUACAAUGAAGUUGAGUUAGUAGUAUGUGAAAAGAGUGAAAGCUUGGAAACUGCAAUUGCAGGUAAUCUAUAUUUGAAUUUAAAGUGAUUCAUGAAGUUUUUAUGCAUUGAAUGUAUGAUUGUAAUGUUUCAAAUAAAGUUGUAUAAUUUGGUAGGAUUGAAAUAAGAAAAAGAAGUUGUUUAGAGUUCA